AGAAUGUGGACGCUCAUAUCCUGGGACUACCAAAGAGGGAAAAGUAUUGAGGCUGUUUUUAGCCGAUCUGUCUCAGACAUGUCUUACAGGCAUUUGCUGCUCUUUCACACGGACUGGAGUGGACUUUCCUGUGAAUUUGGAAAACUUUCAUGAGGAGAUCUUCUUUUCAAUGGUCGAUGCCAGAGCGGGCCUCCUGAAAAGAACAAGGAAUGCCUUCAACUUCCUGCCACCAGCUCUUGACGCUGCACAAAACUGGGGUGUCUUAGAUGAGUCUAGACAUGGAGAAAAAUUAAAAAAUAACUUCAAGUACACAAUGAAAAAUUACCUUACUUCUUUAGAUGACCUACAGAUGAGCGGUGAGAGUAUAGUUCAUCUGGAGCCAGUCACGGAUAAUUACUUUUCUAAAUUGGCCUCCCUUGAAGAUAUGGAAGUUGCAGCUGCCAACUUUGACAUGGUGCAUCGGCUGGAAGAAAUUCUGAGGCAAUGGUAUAAGCAAAUCGAGCAGGUCCUGAUAGAAAGUGAUCUAUUGAGGAAAGGGGAUGAUUCUGCUGGGCCAUUAAGUAAGUUGGACCACUGGAAAAAAAAGGUCUUUGAGGUUCAGCUCGAUCAUCGAUCACAUCAAAGGCCCAGAGUGUAAGGCCGUGGUAAUGGUGCUCUAUAUCAGACAAUCCAAGAUUAUGAAGAUGUGGAGGGUGCUAGAUGCCAAGAUAACAGAUCGCGCCAAUGAAGCAAAAGACAAUGUAAAAUUCCUUUCCACACUGGAGAAAGUCUGUCAACCUCUUUACAACAGCGACCCGGU
Long non-coding RNA from Etheostoma cragini (Arkansas darter), 799 nucleotides. RefSeq lists it as uncharacterized. The transcript is spliced from 5 exons. NCBI's taxonomy places the organism in Eukaryota, Metazoa, Chordata, Actinopteri, Perciformes, Percidae. The record is from RefSeq and is a predicted model, not a curated record.